Molecule: microRNA, 22 nt
Filed under: Oreochromis niloticus (Nile tilapia)
Lineage: Eukaryota; Metazoa; Chordata; Actinopteri; Cichliformes; Cichlidae
Description: oni-miR-10760
Source: miRBase by way of RNAcentral
UUAGUUAUCUUGGCUGGAGCUG